This 133-nucleotide ribosomal RNA is filed under the name uncultured bacterium. Its description in RNAcentral is "partial 16S ribosomal RNA". It matches the Rfam family "Bacterial small subunit ribosomal RNA", at positions 357 to 499 of the family's 1533-position model. The record is from RNAcentral.
GGGAAUAUUGGACAAUGGGCGAAAGCCUGAUCCAGCUACGCCGCGUGGGUGAAGAAGGCCUUCGGGUUGUAAAGCUCUGUCGGGAGGAACGAAGCCUUCGGGUUGACGGUACCUCGCAAGAAAGCACCGGCUA